GGAAAAGUGUCUGCAGAUGCCAAAACAAAGAAAUGGUCAUCUUCCACCAGGAAUGUUUUCUACGCAAGGGUAGAAAAAUAUUAUUAUUAUUAUUAUUAUUAGAAGUGUGGACUAGCCUUGACUACCCCUAGAGAGAGAAAGGAAGUUGAGAUGAAGGGAAAGAGAGAGAACAAGAGAGAUGAAAGGAGGGAGAAAGAAAGGGGGGGGAAGUACCCUGCUGUUCUCAUGUCUCCCCAUUUAAACCCUGCUGUUUCCUGUCAUGUCCGUCUGUUCUGUUCCCCAGGAGUUUGGCUUGGCCCGCUUCAAGAGCAACCAGGUGAAGGCCAUGAAGGGCCUGGAGUACGCUCUGUCUAACUUACACGGAGAGGCACCCCAGCGCCAGCCCUGCGUCCGGGACACAGUGAAGACUGCUACAGAGAAAGCCAAGACCCUGGCCUCGGCCGCCGCCCCGCAGAAACAGCCCCAGCAGUACGUGUGACAACAGGGGAACAUCCACUGCCACCGGCUGGAACGGGACACUGUGCACGCAGUGGCAGGCACAAGCAACACAUUCACAUGCAACACACAGGCUGGCCAAUUCUGAUCUUUUUAAGAGCUGAUCUGAUUGGUCAAAAGACCAUUUUGUAAGGAAAAACACAUCAGAAUUGAGCUGUGCAUGCACACUCUUUUAGCUGCCUUUUCAUUGACUGGAAGCUUGCUUGUAUCAAGGUCUCGGUGUACAGUAUGUGUACAAUAUGUCCAUCUAAACCACUAAAAAAGCUCUGCUCCUCUGGGGUUAGGUUAGGCUCUGCUCUCUGGGGUUAGGCUCUGCUCCUCUGGGGUUAGGCUCUGCUCCUCUGGGGUUAGGCUCUGCUCCUCUGGGGUUAGGCUCUGCUCCUCUUAUUUUCAUUAGCAUAGCAUUAAUACGUCUCAGGUACUGAGCCCCUGUCUGUCUGCCUGCCACAACCUAGGGACAUGUUCAAUAGGCCCCAAAUGCGAGAAAAUGUUCUCAAACCGAGUGAAACCGAGAUAAAAGUAUGUGGACAGCCCUUCAAAUGAUUGGAUUUGGCUAUUUCAGCCACCAAUGUUGCUGACAGGUGUAUAAAACCAAGGACAGUCAUGCAAUCUCCAUAGACAAACAUUGGCCUUACUGUAGAGCUCAGUGAUUUAACGUGGCACCGUCAUAGGAUGCCACCCCUCCAUCAAGUCAGUUCGUCACAUUUCUGUCCUGUCAACGAAGUGCUGUUAUUGUGAGGCGGAAACGUCUAGGAGCAACAACAAGCUCACAGAAUGGGACUUCCGAGUUCCAAACUGCCUCUGGAAGCAACGUAAGCGCAAUAAUUGUUCGUCGGGAGCUUCAUGAAAUGGGUUUCCAUGGUUGAGCAGGUGCACAAAAGCCUAAGAUCACCAUACGCAAUGCAAAGCAUCGGCUGGAGUGGUGUAAAGCUCGCUACCAUUGGACCAGCGGAAAUGCAGUCUUUGGAGUGAUGAAUCACGCUUCACGAUCUGUCAGUCUGACGGACUAAUCUGGGUUUGGCGGAUGCCAGGAGAACACUACCUGCCCAAUGCAGAGUGCCAAAUGUAA
This 1564-nucleotide long non-coding RNA is filed under the name Oncorhynchus kisutch (coho salmon). RNAcentral describes it as "lncRNA (ENSOKIG00005030058.1)". Lineage: Eukaryota; Metazoa; Chordata; Actinopteri; Salmoniformes; Salmonidae. The record is from RNAcentral.